RNAcentral lists this ribosomal RNA (550 nucleotides) under uncultured bacterium. RNAcentral's name for it is "bacterial SSU rRNA". It matches the Rfam family "Bacterial small subunit ribosomal RNA", at positions 355 to 896 of the family's 1533-position model. The record is from RNAcentral.
UAGGGAAUCUUCGGCAAUGGGGGCAACCCUGACCGAGCAACGCCGCGUGAGUGAAGAAGGUUUUCGGAUCGUAAAGCUCUGUUGUAAGUCAAGAACGAGUGUGAGAGUGGAAAGUUCACACUGUGACGGUAGCUUACCAGAAAGGGACGGUUAACUACGUGCCAGCAGCCGCGGUAAUACGUAGGUCCCGAGCGUUGUCCGGAUUUAUUGGGCGUAAAGCGAGCGCAGGCGGUUUGGUAAGUCUGAAGUUAAAGGCUGUGGCUCAACCAUAGUUCGCUUUGGAAACUGUCAAACUUGAGUGCAGAAGGGGAGAGUGGAAUUCCAUGUGUAGCGGUGAAAUGCGUAGAUAUAUGGAGGAACACCGGUGGCGAAAGCGGCUCUCUGGUCUGUAACUGACGCUGAGGCUCGAAAGCGUGGGGAGCAAACAGGGUUAGAUACCCUGGUAGUCCACACCGUAAACGAUGAAUACUAGGUGUUAGGAGGUUUCCGCCUCUUAGUGCCGAGGUUAACGCAUUAAGUAUUCCGCCUGGGGAGUACGACCGCAAGGUUG